Molecule: long non-coding RNA, 692 nt
Organism: Cavia porcellus (domestic guinea pig)
Lineage: Eukaryota; Metazoa; Chordata; Mammalia; Rodentia; Caviidae
Exons: 4
Source: RefSeq, a predicted model, not a curated record
CUUGCUGGGGCCAGGGAUCCACUUCCUUCCUUCUUUUCUUCCUUAUGUUGCUACAUUCCAGCAUCUAGAUUCCAAAUAUCAGAGAAGCUGUUUCACUACUGUCCACCAUUCCAGCAUCUUCCUUUUCAGGGAAUCAAACUGGGGAGGAAAAUGAAGUUGCUAGAAAACAGGAAUAAAGGAUUACAAACUGAAAUAUGCUGAGAUUUAACCUUAAUCAGCCUGCAAGCCAUGAAAGGAAGUAGGAAGAGAUGCUGAAGGGGACACUGUUUAUGGUGCAAAAGGUGAGGCUCAAGCUCCCAAUGCAAGCUCUGAAACAGGUGGGAUUUGGUCUCUUUCUCUUCAACGGCGACCUGAAAUAAUAUGGUUAGAUUUAAUUACAGAUUUUCUGCACAGGAUACCAACAUGGAUGAAUCUCACAAAUAUUGUGCUGAAAAAACAAUCUGACACAAAAAUGUAUAAUGGUUGUGUCUGUUUAUAUAAAGUUCAAAAUCAGGAAAAACAUGUAUGAGAAGUCAGAAUACUGGUUUCAUUUAGAGAAGACUGGAAGGGGCACAGAUAGACCUGCAGAUGCUGGCAAUAUUCUAUUUCUUCUUGGGUGAUGAUUACCCUGAUGUGUUCACAUUAUGCUAAGUGAGUCAUUAAACCAUAUACUUAUAAUCUGUGUAUUUUUAUAUACAUAUGCAAUUCCAAUU